CCUACGGGAGGCAGCAGUGAGGAAUAUUGGUCAAUGGGCGAGAGCCUGAACCAGCCAAGUCGCGUGAGGGAAGACGGUCCUAUGGAUUGUAAACCUCUUUUGCCGGGGAGCAAAAAGCGGUACGUGUACCGCAUCGCGAGUACCCGGAGAAAAAGCAUCGGCUAACUCCGUGCCAGCAGCCGCGGUAAUACGGAGGAUGCGAGCGUUAUCCGGAUUUAUUGGGUUUAAAGGGUGCGCAGGCGGCGAGUUAAGUCAGCGGUAAAAUUUCGGGGCUCAACCCCGACGAGCCGUUGAAACUGGCCUGCUAGAGAGUAGUUGCGGUAGGCGGAAUGUAUGGUGUAGCGGUGAAAAGCUUAGAGAUCAUACAGAAAACCGAUUGGGAAGGCAGGUUACCAAGCUACUUCUGACGUUGAGGCACGAAAGCGUGGGGAGCAAACAGGAUUAGAUACCCUAGUAGUC
This 459-nucleotide ribosomal RNA is filed under the name uncultured bacterium. RNAcentral describes it as "partial 16S ribosomal RNA". It matches the Rfam family "Bacterial small subunit ribosomal RNA", at positions 338 to 795 of the family's 1533-position model. The record is from RNAcentral.